This 253-nucleotide ribosomal RNA is filed under the name uncultured bacterium. Its description in RNAcentral is "partial 16S ribosomal RNA". It matches the Rfam family "Bacterial small subunit ribosomal RNA", at positions 524 to 776 of the family's 1533-position model. The record is from RNAcentral.
UACAGAGGUCUCAAGCGUUGUUCGGAUUCAUUGGGCGUAAAGGGUGCGUAGGUGGCGGGGCAAGUUGGAUGUGAAGUCCCGGAGCUUAACUCCGGAACUGCAUUCAAUACUGCCUUGCUGGAGUACUGGAGAGGAGAUUGGAAUUUACGGUGUAGCAGUGAAAUGCGUAGAUAUCGUAAGGAAGACCAGUGGCGAAGGCGGAUCUCUGGACAGUUACUGACACUGAGGCACGAAGGCCAGGGGAGCAAACGGG